AGAGUCCUGAUGUGUUCGUUGUCCAACCUGAAGUUUUGACCGAACAUUAUGUACUUCGGGAGUCCGGGGUUUCCAGGCUGAGCACAUGCCCCUGUGGAUUGGGGACUUGCAAGGCCAGGGACAGGACACCCACCUGCUGAGAGCGGGUUCAAAACGAAGGCAUUUAAUCGACGGCACAAUUGGGGCUCUU
This 190-nucleotide non-coding RNA is filed under the name Mesobacillus campisalis. RNAcentral describes it as "Bacillus campisalis 6S / SsrS RNA". It matches the Rfam family "6S / SsrS RNA". From Rfam's summary of the family: E. coli 6S RNA was the first non coding RNA to be sequenced, but its function was unknown until recently. It consists of 184 nucleotides that fold into an extended hairpin structure with a large single-stranded internal bulge. Lineage: Bacteria; Bacillati; Bacillota; Bacilli; Caryophanales; Bacillaceae. The record is from Rfam by way of RNAcentral.